UGGGUCUAGCCUUGAAAUCAUG
This 22-nucleotide microRNA is filed under the name Panagrellus redivivus. RNAcentral describes it as "prd-miR-81-5p". Its record names the gene prd-miR-81-5p. Lineage: Eukaryota; Metazoa; Nematoda; Chromadorea; Rhabditida; Panagrolaimidae. The record is from miRBase by way of RNAcentral.